This 288-nucleotide ribosomal RNA is filed under the name uncultured bacterium. RNAcentral's name for it is "partial 16S ribosomal RNA". It matches the Rfam family "Bacterial small subunit ribosomal RNA", at positions 773 to 1060 of the family's 1533-position model. The record is from RNAcentral.
GUGGAUUAGAUACCCCGGUAGUCCACGCCGUAAACGGUGGGCGCUAGGUGUGGGUUUCCUUCCACGGGAUCCGUGCCGUAGCUAACGCAUUAAGCGCCCCGCCUGGGGAGUACGGCCGCAAGGCUAAAACUCAAAGGAAUUGACGGGGGCCCGCACAAGCGGCGGAGCAUGUGGAUUAAUUCGAUGCAACGCGAAGAACCUUACCUGGGUUUGACAUCUAUCGGAAAGCCGUAGAGAUACGGCCCCCCUUGUGGUCGGUAGACAGGUGGUGCAUGGCCGUCGCCAGCU